UAGGGAAUCUUCCGCAAUGGACGAAAGUCUGACGGAGCAACGCCGCGUGAGUGAAGAAGGAUUUCGGUUCGUAAAACUCUGUUGUUAGGGAAGAAAAAAUGUAUAGUAACUAUAUACAAAAGAGACGGUACCUAACCAGAAAGCCACGGCUAACUACGUGCCAGCAGCCGCGGUAAUACGUAGGUGGCAAGCGUUGUCCGGAAUUAUUGGGCGUAAAGCGCGCGCAGGUGGUUUAGAAAGUCUGAUGUGAAAGCCCACGGCUCAACCGUGGAGGGUCAUUGGAAACUAAUAAACUUGAGUGCAGGAGAGAAAAGUGGAAUUCCUAAUGUAGCGGUGAAAUGCGUAGAGAUUAGGAGGAACACCGGUGGCGAAAGCGGCUUUUUGGCCUGCAACUGACACUGAGGCGCGAAAGCGUGGGGAGCAAACAGG
Molecule: ribosomal RNA, 429 nt
Filed under: Verrucomicrobiota bacterium
Lineage: Bacteria; Pseudomonadati; Verrucomicrobiota
Description: Verrucomicrobia bacterium partial 16S ribosomal RNA
Rfam family: Bacterial small subunit ribosomal RNA
Source: RNAcentral